GAUGAACGCUGGCGGCGUGCCUAAUACAUGCCAGUCGAGCGAACAGACGAGGAGCUUGCUCCUCUGACGUUAGCGGCGGACGGGUGAGUAACACGUGGAUAACCUACCUAUAAGACUGGGAUAACUUCGGGAAACCGGAGCUAAUACCGGAUAACAUGUUGAACCGCAUGGUUCAACAGUGAAAGACGGUCUUGCUGUCACUUAUAGAUGGAUCCGCGCCGCAUUAGCUAGUUGGUAAGGUAACGGCUUACCAAGGCAAGGAUGCGUAGCCGACCUGAGAGGGUGAUCGGCCACACUGGAACUGAGACACGGUCCAGACUCCUACGGGAGGCAGCAGUAGGGAAUCUUCCGCAAUGGGCGAAAGCCUGACGGAGCAACGCCGCGUGAGUGAAGAAGGUCUUCGGAUCGUAAAACUCUGUUAUUAGGGAAGAACAAAUGUGUAAGUAACUAUGCACGUCUUGACGGUACCUAAUCAGAAAGCCACGGCUAACUACGUG
Molecule: ribosomal RNA, 497 nt
Filed under: uncultured bacterium
Lineage: Bacteria
Description: partial 16S ribosomal RNA
Rfam family: Bacterial small subunit ribosomal RNA
Source: RNAcentral